This 295-nucleotide long non-coding RNA is filed under the name Gossypium raimondii (Peruvian cotton). Its description in RNAcentral is "long non-coding RNA (GRAI_LNC004717)". The record is from RNAcentral. Lineage: Eukaryota; Viridiplantae; Streptophyta; Magnoliopsida; Malvales; Malvaceae.
AUUGAUUCAACAAUCGAUCUGAUUUUAAAAACUAGGUAAAUGAAAACACAAACAUGCCAAAAUGUCACUACAUUCUAUCAAACACAUGUUCUACAUUUUUAACCCAUUCUAACUGUAGUGGCCCAAUUUUCCCGGGCCCAAUUAAAUAAAUAAGCACCAAAAAUAAAAAAUAAAAUAAUAAAACAGUCCAGUUUCUUUUUACAAACCCAAACUUAAAGCCCAAAUUCACUACCCAGUUACAGCGGCCCAAAUGCCUAAGCCCUAGCCCACUAGUCCAAAACAAAGCAAAAAAAAA